AAAGGCUUAGUCCUGGCCUUGAAAUCAGUUACUAAUUAACAUACACAUGCAAGUCUCCGCAUCCCUGUGAGAACGCCCUUUAACCCCUAAUAGGGAUUAGGAGCUGGUAUCAGGCACAUUAUUAGCCCAAGACACCUAGCCUCGCCACACCCACAAGGGAAUCCAGCAGUGAUUAACAUUGACCAUAAGCGACAGCUUGACUCAGUUAAAUUUGUUAGAGCCGGCCAAUUUGGUGCCAGCCGCCGCGGCUAAACCAGAAGCUCAAACUGACUUCUAUCGGCGUAAAGAGUGAUUAAAGCAAUUAACCCCCUGGAAUUAAACCCUAACUGAGCCGUGGCACGCCUGUUAUAAAAGAGACUCAUAAACGAAAGUUAUUCCAAUCAAAAUCUACUUGAACUCACGACAGCUGAGAAACAAACUGGGAUUAGGUACCCCACUAUGCUCAGCCGUAAACUUUAAAUUACAUCAAACUCGCCUGGGAACUACGAGCCAAGCUUAAAACCCAAAGGACUUGACGGUACCCUACAUCCACCUAGAGGAGCCUGUCCUAUAAUCGAUAAUCCACGUUUAACCUCACCAUUUUUAGCUUAUUCAGUCAGUAUACUUCCGUCGUCAGCCUACCACAUGAGCGUCAGUGGGCCCAAUGUUUAUUCAACAAUACGUCAGGUCAAGGUGCAGCUAAUAAAAUGGAAAGAGAUGGGCUACAUUUUCUAAUCUAGAGCACACGAAAGACUACUGAUGAAAACUAGUCGGAAGGCGGAUUUAGUAGUAAAUAGGAACCAAAAAGUCCUUUUUAAUUCGGCCCUGGGGUGUGUACACACCGCCCGUCACCCUCCUCUUAUGCCAAAAAAUAGUUAUUAACCAAGAUUAGCUUUUCAGAUGAGGUAAGUCGUAACAUGGUAAGUAUACCGGAAGGUGUGCUUGGAAUCAA
This 931-nucleotide non-coding RNA is filed under the name Allobates femoralis (brilliant-thighed poison frog). RNAcentral's name for it is "12S ribosomal RNA". It matches the Rfam family "Bacterial small subunit ribosomal RNA". The record is from RNAcentral. Lineage: Eukaryota; Metazoa; Chordata; Amphibia; Anura; Aromobatidae.